AUCUGAGUGACUUUGACAAGAGGAAAUAGUGAUGGUUAUACGACUGAGUCAGAACAUCUCCAACAUGGCAAGUCUAGGGGGUGUUCCCAGUAUGCGGUGGUUAGUAUCUACCAAAAGUGGUGCAGGGAAGGACAAGCGGUGAAGGUCACGGGCUCCCAAGGCUCAUUGAUGCACGUGGGGAGCGAAGGCUAGGCUGUCUAAUAUGAUCACACUGUAGCUAAAAUUGCUGAAAAACCUAUAUCAUGAUGGCCAUGAUAUAAAGGUGUCAAAACGCACAGUACAUAGCAGUUUGCUGCUUAGCUGCAGACCAAUCAGAGUUCCUAUGAUGACCCUUGUCCACCAUUGAAAGUGCAAAAGUGCCUUCAAUGGGGACAUGAACACCAGAACUAAACUGUGGGGAAAUGGAAAAAGGCUGCCUUGUCUAAUGGAUCACGUUUUCUUUUAGAUCAGGUAGAAGGUCGGGUGCAUGUCUCUUUUUUACCUGCAGAAGAGAUGGCAGCAGGAUGUACUAUGGGAAGCAGGCCGGCCGAGGCAGUGUUAUGUGCUGGGCAAUGUUCUGCUUGGAAACCUUUGGUCCUGGCAUUCAUACGGAUGUUGCUUUGAUAUGUACAAUCUAACUAGAGAUUGUUGCAGACCACGU
Non-coding RNA from Pelobates cultripes (western spadefoot toad), 640 nucleotides. Lineage: Eukaryota; Metazoa; Chordata; Amphibia; Anura; Pelobatidae. The record is from the annotation of a GenBank genome assembly.